Molecule: RNA transcript, 1276 nt
Organism: Dendrobium catenatum
Lineage: Eukaryota; Viridiplantae; Streptophyta; Magnoliopsida; Asparagales; Orchidaceae
Gene name: putative protease Do-like 14
Exons: 9
Source: RefSeq, a predicted model, not a curated record
UUUGGUUUCCGCUCCAGCUCUUUCUCUCUCUUUUUCUUCUCUAUCUCCCCGCCUCUCUCUUUUGUCGACUCUUUUUUCCCUAGCCCUAGAAGUCAAGUGCUGUUGAUUUCGCUCGCGGUACUUCGAGAACUUGCGAUACGGGCUGCGAUAUGAACUUGAGAAGGGCUGUAACUCCUUUUCUCCGUGGCUUUUUUGAACAUAAAGGAAAUUGGAGAUGCACGUCUGGAUCCUGGUGCGAAUUUGAGUGUUACGGAUUCUCAGAGGCUAGCAAAAAUGUCCCUGAAUUCUCUAGCCGAUUCGGGGGACGCUCGGAUGACUUCAUUAAAUUUGCAACAGAAAACGUUUGUCCUGCCAUUGUCUAUGUCACUCAUAAAAAGGGAAUUGGAGGAUCUGGAAUCAUCAUAGAUUCCGACGGCACGGUCUUGACCCGCGCUUGUAGCAAUUUUUCACUGGAUUCGAGAAGCAAGAUCAAUAUCAGUCUAAAUGAUGGAAGAAAAUUUUUAGGAACUAUUCUGGAGUCUAAUGAGGAUCAUGAUCUUACUCUUUUAAAGAUACAAUCAGAGAUUCCCUUACCAACAACAACAUUUGAUUAUUUGGAAGAUUAUAAAGGAAGCGAAUUGAUUUCUUUUGAACAUCUAUUAAGUAGAAGAGCUUAUCCAAGACCUUCAAGUCAAAAUGAAGUUAAUAAAGAGGGCAACUUGAUGCUGUCAGAUGAAGAAUUCAUUUCUAAACUUGAUUAUAAAAAUUUUCAUUUGGGUCGUUGUGGAGGGCCAAUUGUGACUCUUGAUGGUGAUGUUGUUGGAAUUUGCACUCAAAUUGAUAUGAUGUGGCCUCUCGGUAAUGGUGAUUACUGCGGAAAUAUUAAUGCAAUGGGAAUUGAGGAAGCCUUGUGCAAAGUGGGAUACAGAAAAAAAUGGUGUUGACCCUUGGGUCAUUUUUAUCGAUUCAAUUAUAUAAUUAAAGAUCUUGAUACUCGAAUUGGAUCAUUGGAAUUAAAAUAGAUGAAGAAGUAUGAAGUUAUUGAGGGGACGCUAUAUUCUUCUAACUAUAUUUGCUGCAUGACGUGAUCAUCAUGAGAUUGUUGAAUGGUUCUAGACCUUUUCAGAUUGUUCUUUUUCAUUUAUUAUUAAACUUUAUGGCACAUGAUUAAGAUGAAAGAUGAUGCUUAUUGUACUCUGAAUGAGUCGGAGAUUUGGAGAAAAGGAAGACAACUUUGCAUGGAAGUAAAAUAUUUGGAUAGAAAAGAAAGGAAUAUUAAUGUGUAAGCAAUAGUAAA